This 423-nucleotide ribosomal RNA is filed under the name uncultured bacterium. RNAcentral's name for it is "bacterial SSU rRNA". It matches the Rfam family "Bacterial small subunit ribosomal RNA", at positions 355 to 792 of the family's 1533-position model. The record is from RNAcentral.
UGGGGAAUAUUGGACAAUGGACCAAAAGUCUGAUCCAGCAAUUCUGUGUGCACGAUGAAGUUUUUCGGAAUGUAAAGUGCUUUCAGUUGGGAAGAAGUCAGUGACGGUACCAACAGAAGAAGCGACGGCUAAAUACGUGCCAGCAGCCGCGGUAAUACGUAUGUCGCAAGCGUUAUCCGGAUUUAUUGGGCGUAAAGCGCGUCUAGGCGGUUUAGUAAGUCUGAUGUGAAAAUGCGGGGCUCAACCCCGUAUUGCGUUGGAAACUGCUAAACUAGAGUACUGGAGAGGUAGGCGGAACUACAAGUGUAGAGGUGAAAUUCGUAGAUAUUUGUAGGAAUGCCGAUGGGGAAGCCAGCCUACUGGACAGAUACUGACGCUAAAGCGCGAAAGCGUGGGUAGCAAACAGGAUUAGAUACCCUGGUA